RNAcentral lists this ribosomal RNA (468 nucleotides) under uncultured bacterium. RNAcentral describes it as "partial 16S ribosomal RNA". It matches the Rfam family "Bacterial small subunit ribosomal RNA", at positions 28 to 507 of the family's 1533-position model. The record is from RNAcentral.
GACGAACGCUGGCGGCGUGCUUAACACAUGCAAGUCGAACGGAAAGGCCCUGCUUUUGUGGGGUGCUCGAGUGGCGAACGGGUGAGUAACACGUGAGUAACCUGCCCUUGACUUUGGGAUAACUUCAGGAAACUGGGGCUAAUACCGGAUAGGAGCUCCUGCUGCAUGGUGGGGGUUGGAAAGUUUCGGCGGUUGGGGAUGGACUCGCGGCUUAUCAGCUUGUUGGUGGGGUAGUGGCUUACCAAGGCUUUGACGGGUAGCCGGCCUGAGAGGGUGACCGGCCACAUUGGGACUGAGAUACGGCCCAGACGCCUACGGGAGGCAGUAGUGGGGAAUAUUGCACAAUGGGCGGACGCCUGAUGCAGCAACGCCGCGUGCGGGAUGACGGCCUUCGGGUUGUAAACCGCUUUCGCAUGUGACGAAGCGUGAGUGACGGUAAUGGGUAAAGAAGCACCGGCUAACUACGUG